UACAGAGGUCCCAAGCGUUGUUCGGAUUCAUUGGGCGUAAAGGGUGCGUAGGCGGCGCGGUAAGUCGGGUGUGAAAUCUCGGGGCUUAACUCCGAAACUGCAUUCGAUACUGCCGUGCUUGAGGACUGGAGAGGAGACUGGAAUUUACGGUGUAGAGGUGAAAUUCGUAGAUAUCGGGAGGAACACCAGUGGCGAAGGCGGCGACCUGGGCCAAUACUGACGCUGAGGUGCGAAAGCGUGGGGAGCAAACAGG
Molecule: ribosomal RNA, 253 nt
Filed under: uncultured bacterium
Lineage: Bacteria
Description: partial 16S ribosomal RNA
Rfam family: Bacterial small subunit ribosomal RNA
Source: RNAcentral